GGAGAGAACUACAACGAACGCCCUGAGAGACCCCUCUAAGCUUCUACUACCAACGCGUGGCCCAAACAUUUCACCCAUAAGAUUGAAGAUGCAUUUGAAAGGUUACCAGGAUUCAAGAAGGUCUUUGUAGUUGAAUUCAGGCCUCAGAAGGACCUCCAAAGG
Molecule: long non-coding RNA, 162 nt
Organism: Salvelinus sp. IW2-2015
Lineage: Eukaryota; Metazoa; Chordata; Actinopteri; Salmoniformes; Salmonidae
Source: RefSeq, a predicted model, not a curated record